CCUACGGGGUGCAGCAGUGAGGAAUAUUGGUCAAUGGACGAGAGUCUGAACCAGCCAAGUAGCGUGAAGGAUGACUGCCCUAUGGGUUGUAAACUUCUUUUAUAUGGGAAUAAACUGUUCCACGUGUGGGAUUUUGUAUGUACCAUAUGAAUAAGGAUCGGCUAACUCCGUGCCAGCAGCCGCGGUAAUACGGAGGAUCCGAGCGUUAUCCGGAUUUAUUGGGUUUAAAGGGAGCGUAGGUGGAUUGUUAAGUCAGUUGUGAAAGUUUGCGGCUCAACCGUAAAAUUGCAGUUGAAACUGGCAGUCUGGAGUACAGUAGAGGUGGGCGGAAUUCGUGGUGUAGCGGUGAAAUGCUUAGAUAUCACGAAGAACUCCGAUUGCGAAGGCAGCUCACUGGACUGCAACUGACACUGAGGCUCGAAAGUGUGGGUAUCAAACAGGAUUAGAUACCCGGGUAGUC
RNAcentral lists this ribosomal RNA (460 nucleotides) under uncultured bacterium. RNAcentral's name for it is "partial 16S ribosomal RNA". It matches the Rfam family "Bacterial small subunit ribosomal RNA", at positions 338 to 795 of the family's 1533-position model. The record is from RNAcentral.